Molecule: RNA transcript, 1858 nt
Organism: Lipotes vexillifer (Yangtze River dolphin)
Lineage: Eukaryota; Metazoa; Chordata; Mammalia; Artiodactyla; Lipotidae
Gene name: spermatogenesis-associated protein 2 pseudogene
Exons: 1
Source: RefSeq, a predicted model, not a curated record
CUCUGCUGGUCCAGGCAGGCGACAUGUCAAUGCUUUUAGCAAUGUCCCUGCCUCUAUCUCAGAAGCCAUGGAGGAAAUAAGGUAGCCCCCGUCCUUGGAUUGGAUCGGAUGGGGGAGCCCAGUUCAAUGGAUGCAAAAUAUAAGGAUGACUUAUUUCGGAAGUACGUGCAGUUCCAUGAAGGCAAAGUGGGUACCACCCCCAGCAAGCAGCGGCCUGGCAGUGAUGAGUCCCUGCGGGUGGCAGCCUCGACCCUGCUCAGCCUGCACAAGGUGGAUCCCUUUGAUCGAUUCCGGCUGAUCCAGUUCUAUGAGGUGGUGGAGAGCUCUCUGCGCUCACUGAGCUCCUCCAGUCUGCGGGCUCUGCACUGUGCCUUCAGUGUGCUCGAAACGGUGGGUGUCAACCUUUUCCUCUACCCGUGGAAGAAGGAAUUCAGAAGCAUCAAGACCUACACGGGCCCCUUUGUUUAUUACGUCAAGUCCACAUUACUGGAAGAGGACAUCCGAGCCAUCCUGAAUUACAUGGGCUACGUGCUCAAGUUGGGGACUGCGUACAAGCUCAAAGAGCUGGUAGAGACCCUCCAAGUGAAGAUUGUCUCCUUUGAACUCUUUCUGGCCAAGGUGGAGUGUGAACAGAUGCUAGGAAUCCACUCCCACGUCAAGGACAAAGGCUACUCUGAGCUGGACGUGGUGAGCGAGCGCAAGAGCAGUGCGGAGGAUGUGCGAGGCUGCUCAGAUGCCCUGCGGCGGCGGGCUGAGGGCCGGGAGCACCUGACAACCUCCAUGGCCCGCUUAGUGCUCCAGAAGUUGGCCAGCGAGCGGGCAGCCAAGGACUACUACAAGCCCCGUGUGACCAAGCCUUCAAGGUCGGUGGACACCUAUGACAAUUACUGCGAGAGCCGGAAGCCGCCCCUGAAGACCUUGUUGAGCUUGCGGAAGGAGCCUGUGGCAGCAGACUUGGGGGACGACCUCAAGGACAAGCUCAUCCGCCCGUUCCCCUCGCUCCUGACCAUGUCCAGCUCCCCCCACGGCAACCCGGAUAACCUGCCAUCCCCCUCCCCCAACAUGGCCUUGGCUUCCUGCGUGGCACGUACUUCUCCGCUCAGGAGGAUGUGGAUCUGUACACAGACUCAGAGCCCAGGGCCGCGUACCGGAGGCAGGAUGCCCUGCGACCAGAUGUCUGGCUGGUCAGAAAUGACGCCCACCCCAUCUACCACAAACGCUCGCCCCCCGCCAAAGAGUCCGCCCUCUCCAAGUGCCAAAACUGCGGUCUGUCCUGCAGCUCCUCCCUCUGCCAGCGCUGCGACAGCCUGCUCGCCUGCUCCCCGGCCUCCAAGCCUAGCGGCUUUCCCAGCAAGGCCUCCGCCCACGACAGCCUGGCCCAUGGGUCAUCUCUGCGGGAGAAGUAUGCAGGCCAGACGCAGGGCCUCGACCCGCCGCUGCCCCUCCACUCGAAAUCCAAGCCCUCCCCUGUAGCCGCCUCCCGCUGUGGCUUCUGUGACCGCCCAGGGACCGCCAACACCUGCACGCAGUGUUCGGAAGCCUCUUGCGACGCCUGCCUCAGCACCUACAAUUACGACCCCUGCUGCAAAAAGAGCGAGCUGCACAAGUUCAUGCCCAGCAACCAGCUGAACUACAAGUCCUCCCAGUUCUCCCGUCUCGUGUACAGAUAGACUUGACCUUGCAUCUCCCUGCUACAAGGGCUACACCACUGACAUUUCUGGUUUCAUGGGGAAGAAAUGUUAAUGCGCUGAUCUCAGAAGCAGAGGCCUGCACUUGACCACGUGGUUGUGGGGGCGGGGGGCAACGUGGGAGUUCCUGUAUCGACUCAGAUAUGUCAGCUGAUGGCUGCUUUGCCAUC